CGUGUGGUGUCCGGCAAAGAUUCGGAUAGCGACACGGCCUACAUUUGAGGU
This is a non-coding RNA of Vibrio cincinnatiensis DSM 19608, 51 nucleotides long. The record is from Rfam. Lineage: Bacteria; Pseudomonadati; Pseudomonadota; Gammaproteobacteria; Vibrionales; Vibrionaceae.